UGCCCUGAGGCUUAAAUCCGCACACGUGUCGACACAGUUUCCUGGGUGCCCGCAAGGGUUGGAGACUGGGGCGCGUGGAGGCCUAAC
Pseudomonas taeanensis MS-3 is the source of this 87-nucleotide small RNA. It matches the Rfam family "t44 RNA". From Rfam's summary of the family: This family consists of a number of bacterial RNA genes of between 135 and 170 bases in length. The t44 gene is found between the map and rpsB genes in all species in the full alignment apart from Shigella flexneri. The function of this RNA is unknown. The record is from Rfam. NCBI's taxonomy places the organism in Bacteria, Pseudomonadati, Pseudomonadota, Gammaproteobacteria, Pseudomonadales, Pseudomonadaceae.